This 317-nucleotide ribosomal RNA is filed under the name uncultured eukaryote. RNAcentral's name for it is "partial large subunit ribosomal RNA". It matches the Rfam family "Eukaryotic large subunit ribosomal RNA", at positions 40 to 350 of the family's 3401-position model. The record is from RNAcentral.
AUAUCAAUAAGCGGAGGAAAAGAAACCAACGUGGAUUCCCCUAGUAGCGGCGAGCGAAGCGGGAAAAGCUCAACUUUGUAAUCUGGCGCUUUUGGCGUCCGACUUGUAGUCUCACGAAGCGUGUACCCGCGCCGGCCCUUGCCCAAGUCGUAUGGUUGCGACGUCACAGAGGGUGCAAACCCCGUCGACGGCGAGGACGCCCGGUGUGUUAUGUGGUCCGCUCUCCAAGAGUCGAGUUGUUUGGGAAUGCAGCUCCAAUCGGGUGGUAAAUUCCAUCUAAGGCUAAAUAACGGCGAGAGACCGAUAGCGCACAAGUA